AUGAAGAAACUUGUGACAACAUGCCAAUGUAAAAAGCUGUGUCGCAGGGACACGUCCCGUCAGAGCUCGCAGGGACACGUCCCGUCAGAGCUCGCAGGGACACGUCCCGUCAGAGCUCGUAGGAGCAGGGACACGUCCCGUCAGAGCUCGCAGGAGCAGGGACACGUCCCGUCAGAGCUCGCAGGAGCAGGGACACGUCCCGUCAGAGCUCGCAGGAGCAGGGACACGUCCCGUCAGAGCUCGCAGGAGCAGGGACACGUCCCGUCAGAGCUCGCAGGAGCAGGGACACGUCCCGUCAGAGCUCGCAGGAGCAGGGACACGUCCCGUCAGAGCUCGCAGGGACACGUCCCGUCAGAGCUCGCAGGAGCAGGGACACGUCCCGUCAGAGCUCGCAGGAGCAGGGACACGUCCCGUCAGAGCUCGCAGGAGCAGGGACACGUCCCGUCAGAGCUCGCAAGAGCAGGGACACGUUCCGUCAGAGCUCGCAGGAGCAGGGACACGUCCCGUCAGAGCUCGCAGGAGCAGGGACACGUCCCGUCAGAGCUCGCAGGAGCAGGGACACGUCCCGUCAGAGCUCGCAGGAGCAGGGACACGUCCCGUCAGAGCUCGCAGGAGCAGGGACACGUUCCGUCAGAGCUCGCAGGAGCAGGGACACGUUCCGUCAGAGCUCGCAGGAGCAGGGACACGUUCCGUCAGAGCUCGCAGGAGCAGGGACACGUCCCGUCAGAGCUCGCAGGAGCAGGGACACGUCCCGUCAGAGCUCGCAGGAGCAGGGACACGUCCCGUCAGAGCUCGCAGGAGCAGGGACACGUCCCGUCAGAGCUCGCAGGAGCAGGGACACGUCCCGUCAGAGCUCGCAGGAGCAGGGACACGUCCCGUCAGAGCUCGCAGGAGCAGGGACACGUUCCGUCAGAGCUCGCAGGAGCAGGGACACGUUCCGUCAGAGCUCGCCGGAGCAGGGACACGUCCCGUCAGAGCUCGCAGGAGCAGGGACACGUCCCGUCAGUCAUUAAGCAUCUUACAAGAUAUCCGGAGUAG
This 1038-nucleotide long non-coding RNA is filed under the name Salmo trutta (river trout). RNAcentral's name for it is "lncRNA (ENSSTUG00000044400.1)". The record is from RNAcentral. Lineage: Eukaryota; Metazoa; Chordata; Actinopteri; Salmoniformes; Salmonidae.